Molecule: ribosomal RNA, 467 nt
Filed under: uncultured bacterium
Lineage: Bacteria
Description: partial 16S ribosomal RNA
Rfam family: Bacterial small subunit ribosomal RNA
Source: RNAcentral
GACGAACGCUGGCGGCGUGCUUAACACAUGCAAGUCGAACGGAAAGGCCCUGCUUUUGUGGGUGCUCGAGUGGCGAACGGGUGAGUAACACGUGAGUAACCUGCCCUUGACUUUGGGAUAACUUCAGGAAACUGGGGCUAAUACCGGAUAGGAGCUCCUGCUGCAUGGUGGGGGUUGGAAAGUUUCGGCGGUUGGGGAUGGACUCGCGGCUUAUCAGCUUGUUGGUGGGGUAGUGGCUUACCAAGGCUUAGACGGGUAGCCGGCCUGAGAGGGUGACCGGCCACAUUGGGACUGAGAUACGGCCCAGACUCCAACGGGAGGCAGCAGUGGAGAAUAUUGCACAAUGGGCGGAAGCCUGAUGCAGCAACGCCGCGUGCGGGAUGACGGCCUUCGGGUUGGAAACCGAUUUCGCCUGUGACGAAGCGUGAGUGACGGUAAUGGGUAAAGAAGCACCGGCUAACUACGUG